GGGUAUAGUAGCAAUACUAGAGACCGGCGCACGGGUGCGUAACGCGUAUGCAAUCUACCUUAUACAGAGGGAUAGCCCAGAGAAAUUUGGAUUAAUACCUCAUAGCAUAGCAACUUCGCAUGAAGUCACUAUUAGAGUUCCAACGGUAUAAGAUGAGCAUGCGUCCUAUUAGCUAGAUGGUAAGGUAACGGCUUACCAUGGCUACGAUAGGUAGGGGUCCUGAGAGGGAGAUCCCCCACACUGGUACUGAGACACGGACCAGACUCCUACGGGAGGCAGCAGUGAGGAAUAUUGGACAAUGGGCGCAAGCCUGAUCCAGCCAUGCCGCGUGCAGGAAGACGCAUCUAUGGUGUGUAAACUGCUUUUGUACGGGAAGAAACACUCCCUCGUGAGGGAGCUUGACGGUACCGUAAGAAUAAGGAUCGGCUAACUCCGUGCCAGCAGCCGCGGUAAUACGGAGGAUCCAAGCGUUAUCCGGAAUCAUUGGGUUUAAAGGGUCCGUAGGCGGUUUGGUAAGUCAGUGGUGAAAGCCCAUCGCUUAACGAUGGAACGGCCAUUGAUACUGCCAGACUUGAAUUACUGGGAAGUAACUAGAAUAUGUAGUGUAGCGGUGAAAUGCUUAGAUAUUACA
RNAcentral lists this ribosomal RNA (631 nucleotides) under uncultured Flavobacterium sp. RNAcentral's name for it is "bacterial SSU rRNA". It matches the Rfam family "Bacterial small subunit ribosomal RNA", at positions 66 to 701 of the family's 1533-position model. The record is from RNAcentral. Lineage: Bacteria; Pseudomonadati; Bacteroidota; Flavobacteriia; Flavobacteriales; Flavobacteriaceae.